UGCCGUGCUCAGCGAGGCAACCGCACCAUCAGUCGACUGCUGAUUUCUUUUACCGCAGUGUCAUCAGUAACUGAGGCAUUCACAGUUGAGAUCAGAGGAGCCUCAAAUAGGGGGACACUGAGAACCUAGGACAUUACAUUGGCAUUGCAUGGUGUGUCCAAACCCCUCGCUAAUAUGGUGAAUAGGUGAACAAGUUGGGGUUCUGAAAGCAAUUCUAUGGCACAGAAGAAGUCUUGGAAGCUAGGUCAGGAGAAAAUAAAUACCAGUCCUGAUGAAGCUGAUAAAUUCAAGUACAUUCUUCAAAAUAGCAUUUUUCUCUGGCAAUAUAAUUUUAGUUUGGAGUGCAGCAAUAAUUGAAUUCCUGGGACUGAUUUGAUACAGGUGAGACAGAGGGUUUGCUCUUAAUUGAUUGCUUAUUUCAGCCUUCCGACAUGUGAGAAAUAUUGUGAAAAGUUGUUUGGUAUGAGAAAAGCCUUCUAUUACCCUAAAAGGUAAGGUAAAUGAUGCUUUGUUACAGUCUUAUGAUAUCUAGGUGAAGAUGCUAAAUCAUACCAAAUAUGUAAAAUGCUGGACAAAUGAUCAGGCAUGUAUGCAGUGGUAAUUGUAUAAAGCUAAGAAAUUACAGUUGUCUAAGAAUAAAGAGAUUUAAAAAUAGAGUUUUAUGGGACAGACGUCCUAGGGCAUACUAUGUUAUUCUAGGGAAUAUUUACCUACCAGGAGUAGUUGUGUAGCCUCUCUAUGAGGAAAAUAAUUGUUUUGUGUUUCAGUGAUGGAACACCACAUCACUGGUAAUCUUUUGGGUUGGUUUUUCAUUCACAGUAUAGCAGUGAGGUAGAUUGAUGAUGUUAUUGAGGGAUUCUCAUUAGCUGUGGGAUACCCAUACAGGGGUCAAGUGAUUUGUCCAAAGUCAUGUUGGUAGCUGAACUUAGGUCUUAAAAGUGAGACUAAACUCAAUUACUAACUUGGUGUUUUUAGAUGGGUGGGCAACAUUCUAAAUUGUUGUAGAAAAUAGUGGUUUCCCUUCGGAAAGGAACAGUGGUUAUGUUAAUGUAUACUUUUUUUUUUCUUGUUUUUAAAGGUGUGGUACUGCACUUCCUAUUGAAGGGUGGAGAUGAAGGCAGGUAUUUCCUGCUUUCCAGGCAUUUGGGUGUCAUGUUUUCCUGUUGCUGUUAUUGUUUUGGGCCUUAUGGAGUAUGUCUUUUUAUUCUAUGCUGCUAUUUAAGGGCCAGGAAAAGAACAAAGUCUUGCUGAACGUGCUUUAUUAACAAAUUCUGAAUUUACAGUCAUGGAGCAGCUGUUGUAUUCUAGGCCUUUUACUACCUAGUCUAGUUGUAGGUUGGCUAAACAGUAACUGUUAAGGAACUGGAAAUAUCAAAGAUAAUGGAGCAAGAACACCUAAACUCACCUGCUUCAUCAGUGGCUUUAAUAUUUGGUUUCUGUCUUGUUUUUGGAGUCUUGCCUGAUGGUGAUAGCUUUCAGAGGUUGCUACUAUUGUAGAGAAUUAAGUUGAUGGGAAACGGCGAGGGAGUCGAGUAGCAGGGAUUUCAAGAUUCUUGCCAGGUGAAAUGGUAUGGUUUUUUAAGUUCUGGCUAUUGUGAAGAGUUGGAAUGUUGAAUUAACACAGGAAGAAAAGAAAGUACGGAAAUCUGAUUUAAAGUAUUAUUAGCAGGGCAUAGCCAAAGGGAAGUGUUACUGAACCAUGUCCAGUUAGGAUUCUAAAUACAUUCGGUUCCUCUCUAAUGCUUCUUCUGUUACUGACUUCCAACUUUAACAUUUAGAAUACUAACCAAGCUAGAUUAAAAUUAUUUUUCUGGCUUACAUGUAACAAGUACAAAACUGUCAAAGCAGAUAAUAAACAAUGUAUUGUUUUUUCUUUAAUGUUUCUUAUUUACUCGGAUGUUAAGAUUGAAGAAUGAUGAGUCAAAGUAGUUGAAUAGGGUUUUUUGAGGAAGCUUUGGGGAGUUCAGGAUUCUUUUACUUCUGCGGUGUUUGAGUGAUAGAGAUUCAAAAACUCCUUUACCUGUACCUUUAUUAAUGAGACAGAUUCUCAUGAUAAAACUGGCUUUCCUGGCAUUUGAUUAUGGAAUGUAUCUUUCUGUGUCUUGAAUUCACCAAGAAAUGAAACGGAAUACAAAUACAAAAUAAAUACUCAAAAGUGUCACAGCAGUUUGGUGAGGAAGACUGAAACCUGUAGGAUGAGUUGGUGUCAGUCAGUAGUAAAUGAUUAGUUGGGAAGCCCCGACUUUGAAGGUAGGCUUCAGCUUCAGUUCCUGUCUCUCCUAAAAUGGUAGCAGCAACUCCUUUUAUAACAAUUUUUGCUAUAUAGCUUUUCUCACAAUCGUGGGAUCUUGCAAGAGUCUGUAUUGCAGAACUUCUCUUAAGCAAUCUGUUGUCUGAAAAGUUGUAUGAUUACUGCCCAGACAAGGCAGUUGUAAAGUGUAAUUCCCUAACUUGGAGAGAAAAUAAACAAUCUUGAGGAAAAGUCCAGCAAGCUGUUAAUGCUGAAGACUUACCAUGACACCAGUGUGAACAGCUGAGGAGUUUCUUAGCAAGAAGGAAAGUAAAACUUAAAUUACAUUUAAAAGAAAAAAAGUGAUAACCUGCUUAGUAGGACAGCUUCCUGUCCUCUACCAACUAAUUGAUUUUUGAUGCUUUUUUUGACUAGUCUGCAUUCAGACUCUCUACGUCUGGCUAAAGUAUAAAAUAAUAAUUCUUAAUUGAACUAAAAGAUUCUGCAUGUACUGGUUUUGGUCUUUAGUGUUCACAGUUUGUUUUUAAUUAAAAAAAAACCAAAAAAAAAAUUCCCCCAAAACAAAAAAACACCUCACCAUCCCCAACAAACCACAAUCUGUGGUUAUUUCACUAAUGUAACUUGAAAGUGAAUGUGUAACACUGCUUGUCCUUACAGAAAAUGAAGAUUGAGUGGUUAGUCUAAGACAAUUAAAUAAUUUACUUUAUUGUAAUGCUAAAUGUUGAUCUGGAUUUCACUACAGUGAAACCUAUGUGUAUACAUCAUAAAAAUGUGAGAUGUCAGUCUGAUUAUAUGUACUGCGCAUACAAAAGCACAAGUUGAAUUUUUGUAAUAUUUUCCAUUAUUUCAAAGUUAGAAGAUUAUAUUAGGGGAACGUACUUAGCUAGUCAUACUUUGUGAAACAAUGCAAACAUAUUUCAUAUUUAGAUAUUUGAAUGUCAUAUUGUAACUGUUAUCAUUGUGUUACUUUUCAGGGUGACCAGCAAGAAGAAAAUCAAGCUCUUGCGUAACAAUGCUGGGGCAGUUUUUGGUCCAUUUUGAUUUUGCUGUGAGGGUAUUGUGAACUAUAAAGAAUUACUUGUCCUCACAGUGAAAAGGGAAGAGGACUCGGCCUUCAGUAUAAUCAGUUAUGCUUUCCUCCAAAGUCUACAAGAUCAGCAGAAGAAUCUGCAACUGCAGUAGCUUAUUUCAGUAAGGAGCUCUGCCCUUCUGUGGCAUUUGAGCACCUUCUUGUCAGCCAGUUCAGCCUAGUUCUUGUGCCUUUAUAAAUGCACACCGAAAAUAUUUAUAUUAUUUAAUGACUUAUUAUUCUAGAAGUAAACUAAUACUGCAAAUGCAUGAUGUGUUGAGGUGCACUCACUACAUAAAAUUACUGGUAGAAUGAUUAUUCUGGUGCAUAGUACUUGAAUAUAGUGUGAGUCAGCCCAUACUAAUGUGUUGCCCCCAAAACCUCCCAUUAGACUAGUACUUCAUGCAGAAGAAGAGUCAAGAGAAAAGUAGACUUUUAAAAAUUUCCUUUUGUAGUGUCAUAAUAUGCAUGGAUGAUAUAUUUUGCGUUGUUAUAUCAACAUACGCUUUUGAAUAUCUGACUUCUGUAGACCAGAAUAUUUGCAUUAGUAUUAACCAGUAAAUUUUGCAGAUUAGUGAAUGAUGAUGAUUCUGAAACAUUCUUACUUCUGCCAAGAAUAUGACACGAGCAAUGGUUAUGCUUUUGUCAAAACAGCUGAGUAAGUUUUUGUGCACCUAUGGGUCUAUGGGAAUUGAUGAAUAUGUUCAAAUGUCAGAACUAAAUCUAUAAAAAUUGUUAAUAUGUUAAGAAUAUACACAUAGAAGCAUUACUCUAAGCAAAAUAGUUGGGUUCUUGGCAAUACCGAGUAUAUGUUUCUGACCUAAGUAAUGUGAAAAUUUUCUGUAUGGGUUUAUACUGAAAGGCAAACAGUGGCUGUAAAAACACAGAAUUGUUUUGUUUUGUUUUGUGUUCGUAAUGUGGCUUUACUGUCCUGGCUGGUUUCCUUAGAACUGUGGAUCUAUCAAAUCUUUUGGAAUGUGAGUAUUUAAGUAUGUAAACUGGGAAACUUCCAUCCAAAUAAAGACAGGUUCUGUGUUGGAA
Long non-coding RNA from Aquila chrysaetos chrysaetos, 4361 nucleotides. RefSeq lists it as uncharacterized. The record is from RefSeq and is a predicted model, not a curated record. The transcript is spliced from 4 exons. NCBI's taxonomy places the organism in Eukaryota, Metazoa, Chordata, Aves, Accipitriformes, Accipitridae.